Molecule: small RNA, 28 nt
Filed under: Bombyx mori (domestic silkworm)
Lineage: Eukaryota; Metazoa; Arthropoda; Insecta; Lepidoptera; Bombycidae
Description: ovarian small RNA-14585
Source: RNAcentral
CGUGUAUAUAUUGGUUCAUUGAGUCUGC